CCUACGGUAGGCAGCAGUCGAGAAUCAUUCACAAUGGGGGAAACCCUGAUGGUGCGCCGCCGCGUGGGGGAAUGAAGGUCUUCGGAUUGUAAACCCCUGUCAUGUGGGAGCAAAUUAAAAAGAUAGUACCACAAGAGGAAGCGACGGCUAACUCUGUGCCAGCAGCCGCGGUAAUACAGAGGUCUCAAGCGUUGUUCGGAAUCACUGGGCGUAAAGCGUGCGUAGGCUGUUUCGUAAGUCGGGUGUGAAAGGCGCGGGCUCAACCCGCGGACGGCACAUGAUACUGCGAGACUAGAGUAAUGUAGGGGGAACCGGAAUUCUCGGUGUAGCAGUGAAAUGCGUAGAUAUCGAGAGGAACACUCGUGGCGAAGGCGGGUUCCUGGACAUUAACUGACGCUGAGGCACGAAGGCCAGGGGAGCGAAAGGGAUUAGAUACCCGAGUAGUC
Molecule: ribosomal RNA, 446 nt
Filed under: uncultured bacterium
Lineage: Bacteria
Description: partial 16S ribosomal RNA
Rfam family: Bacterial small subunit ribosomal RNA
Source: RNAcentral